Molecule: ribosomal RNA, 208 nt
Filed under: uncultured bacterium
Lineage: Bacteria
Description: partial 16S ribosomal RNA
Rfam family: Bacterial small subunit ribosomal RNA
Source: RNAcentral
CUCGUAGGUGGCCAACUAAGUCAGACGUGAAAUCCCUCGGCUUAACCGGGGAACUGCGUCUGAUACUGGAUGGCUUGAGUGUGGGAGAGGGAUGCGGAAUUCCAGGUGUAGCGGUGAAAUGCGUAGAUAUCAGGAGGAACACCGGUGGCGAAGGCGGCAUCCUGGACCACGACUGACGCUGAGUGAGCGAAAGCGUGGGGAGCAAACA